AUAAAAGCUGGUAGCUAGCUUUUAGCAACUCUGCAACUCUCACAUGGUCGCCAACUGAAGCUAAGGAGGGCUGUGCCCGGUCAGGACCUGGAUGGGAGACCACAUGGGAGAGCUAGGUUGUUUUUCAA
This 128-nucleotide ribosomal RNA is filed under the name Danio rerio (zebrafish). Lineage: Eukaryota; Metazoa; Chordata; Actinopteri; Cypriniformes; Danionidae. The record is from RNAcentral.